GGGUAAUGUGAGGCUGUGUGGCCCUUGUUAUCUUUUGGUCGGGAUGAAGAAAUUGGGUGCACAUUGCUGAGUCAUUGCUGGCGAGCACUGUAAGGUCUGUAAGGUAAAAUAUAAAGGCACUGUUGCUCACACAAUCAGCUUGUACGUCUGCCUUUGAAUCUACUUUGCCUAUGGCUUGGGCAGCAACUGAUGGCUGUUUUAUUCCUGAUAUAUUAAUAUGGGCUCCUGAAGUAAUGAUUACAGUGUCUAAGGAGGAAAUGGGGUCCUAUGGGUAUGGCUGACAUCUUCUUUGGAUGUGUUGUUCAGUUAUCUAAAUGAUGAGUAGAAUAUCAAUCAGCUGUGAUAUAAAGUAGCAGACUACCAAAUUGCCUUAACAUUUUUUUUUUUCUAAUAUUUGAAUAUCUUCCAUGUAGAGUCUUCGGUAUGAUCACAGCCCUUGGAGGAAAAAAUGAUUCUUUUAAAAGCACAAAUACUAGAUCAAGGACUUGAUAUAUCCAAGGGAUCUUUUUCUGCCCUGAGCAAGGGUGAAAACUCCAAAGCUCCAAAGCAAUGGAAAUCUCCAGAGAUGUCCACGCCAAAUAGGUUCUUGCCUGUCCUUAUUCAAAAGGCUAUUUAUCCUUCUCAAGGCUUGUGAAGUGAUUUUCAUGAAAUGAAAACCGCUGUUUGCAAAACAAGAAGUCAAGGAGUUUUACUCUGGGAGGCAUCAAAAACAAGAACUGCAAAGUUUUUCAAAAUAAAAUGUUUCAUAUAAGAAAAAAUUGAAAUAAU
This 768-nucleotide long non-coding RNA is filed under the name Anas platyrhynchos platyrhynchos (common mallard). RNAcentral's name for it is "lncRNA (ENSAPLG00000022624.1)". The record is from RNAcentral. Lineage: Eukaryota; Metazoa; Chordata; Aves; Anseriformes; Anatidae.